AUUGAACGCUGGCGGCAUGCCUCACACAUGCAAGUCGAACGGCAGCACGGGUGCUUGCACCUGGUGGCGAGUGGCGAACGGGUGAGUAAUACAUCGGAACGUACCUUAUCGUGGGGGAUAACGCAGCGAAAGCUGUGCUAAUACCGCAUACGCCCUGAGGGGGAAAGCGGGGGAUCGCAAGACCUCGCGCGAUUAGAGCGGCCGAUGCCUGAUUAGCUUGUUGGUGGGGUAAAAGCCCACCAAGGCGACGAUCAGUAGCUGGUCUGAGAGGACGAUCAGCCACACUGGGACUGAGAAACGGCCCAGACUCCUACGGGAGGCAGCAGUGGGGAAGUUUGGACAAUGGGGGCAACCCUGAUCCAGCAAUGCCGCGUGAGUGAAGAAGGCCUUCGGGUUGUAAAGCUCUUUUGUCAGGGAAGAAACACCGGCUCUAACACAGUCCGGGAAUGACGGUACCUGAAGAAUAAGCACCGGCUAACUACGUGCCAGCCGCCGCCGUAA
Molecule: ribosomal RNA, 501 nt
Filed under: uncultured bacterium
Lineage: Bacteria
Description: partial 16S ribosomal RNA
Rfam family: Bacterial small subunit ribosomal RNA
Source: RNAcentral